GAUGAACGCUAGCUACAGGCUUAACACAUGCAGGUCGAGGGGAAACGAUAGAGAAAGCUUGCUUUUUCUAGGCGUCGACCGGCGCACGGGUGAGUAACGCGUAUCCAACCUGCCCUAGAGUGGGGGACAACAGUUGGAAACGACUGCUAAUACCGCAUAAGCCCACGGUACCGCAUGGUACUGAGGGAAAAGGAUUUAUUCGCUUUAGGAUGGACUCGCGUCCAAUUAGCUAGUUGGUGAGGUAACGGCCCACCAAGGCGACGAUUGGUAGCCGGACUGAGAGGUUGAACGGCCACAUUGGGACUGAGACACGGUCCAAACUCCUACGGGAGGCAGCAGUGAGGAAUAUUGGUCAAUGGGCGAGAGCCUGAACCAGCCAAGUAGCGUGCAGGAUGACGGCCCUAUGGGUUGUAAACUGCUUUUAUAAGGGAAUAAAGUGGGAGUCGUGACUCUUUUUGCAUGUACCUUAUGAAUAAGGACCGGCUAAUUCCGUG
This 494-nucleotide ribosomal RNA is filed under the name uncultured bacterium. RNAcentral describes it as "bacterial SSU rRNA". It matches the Rfam family "Bacterial small subunit ribosomal RNA", at positions 28 to 507 of the family's 1533-position model. The record is from RNAcentral.